CCUACGGGCGGCAGCAGUGGGGAAUAUUGGACAAUGGGGGCAACCCUGAUCCAGCCAUGCCGCGUGUGUGAAGAAGGCCCUCGGGUUGUAAAGCACUUUCAGUGAGGAAGAACGCCUGGUGGUUAAUACCCAUCAGGAAAGACAUCACUCACAGAAGAAGCACCGGCUAACUCCGUGCCAGCAGCCGCGGUAAUACGGAGGGUGCGAGCGUUAAUCGGAAUUACUGGGCGUAAAGCGCGCGUAGGUGGCUUGAUAAGCCGGUUGUGAAAGCCCCGGGCUCAACCUGGGAACGGCAUCCGGAACUGUCAAGCUAGAGUGCAGGAGAGGAAGGUAGAAUUCCCGGUGUAGCGGUGAGAUGCGUAGAGAUCGGGAGGAAUACCAGUGGCGAAGGCGGCCUUCUGGACUGACACUGACACUGAGGUGCGAAAGCGUGGGUAGCAAACAGGAUUAGAUACCCCGGUAGUC
RNAcentral lists this ribosomal RNA (465 nucleotides) under Vreelandella stevensii. Its description in RNAcentral is "partial 16S ribosomal RNA". It matches the Rfam family "Bacterial small subunit ribosomal RNA", at positions 338 to 795 of the family's 1533-position model. Lineage: Bacteria; Pseudomonadati; Pseudomonadota; Gammaproteobacteria; Oceanospirillales; Halomonadaceae. The record is from RNAcentral.